CUUUUGGAGAAGAGCUACAAGUGGUGGACGGUGGCCACAGUGAAGAGUGGGGUAACUUAGACUAAACACUAUAGGAGCCAUCAGAAGAAAUUUUUCCAAACUGCAGCUUAUUACAUGGGUCACACAAGGACAGUUUGCAGCAUAAGGACAGCUAGCUGCUUAUACAAGAACAUGUGCCUGACACAGUCUCACAAGCCCAGUCCAAAACUACAAGGGCCUAACUGUAACUCCAGGAUUACAAGUCCUACCUAAUAACUAUUGACACUCGCCAGUCAGAACUCACCAGCUCUUUUGUUGCUGCCAGCACCAAUAAGCUUUCUUCCAAAACCAACGCAUAGCCUCCGCCUUUCCCAAUAAACUCUAACCUUUUCCUUUAUUCUGUGGACACUCCAGAGGCCAAUCUGGUCUGUAUAUAUGUCCCAGAUUGCAGUCCUACUUCUUGUAUAUUAUUCUCAAAUAAAACAAUUUUUACUUAA
This is a long non-coding RNA of Homo sapiens (human), 476 nucleotides long. RefSeq lists it as uncharacterized. NCBI's taxonomy places the organism in Eukaryota, Metazoa, Chordata, Mammalia, Primates, Hominidae. The transcript is spliced from 2 exons. The record is from RefSeq and is a predicted model, not a curated record.